AUGGAGAUCGGUCCAAGAAUGGUGGCUAUUGUUGUUAUAGUCAUGAGCUUCGCCGUCUUCCUAGGCAUCGUUUCUGCUGAUCCUGACAUGCUCCAAGAUUUCUGUGUCGCCGAUCUCACUUCCAAAGUGAAAGUCAAUGGAUUUCCUUGCAAAGAAACUUUCAACGAAAUGGACUUCUUCCAGGAUGGGCUGGCCAAACCCGAACUCCCCAACAACACCUUAGGCUCUCUGGUGACAAGGGCCAAUGUCGAAAAAGGUCCCGGGCCUCAACACCCUCGGCUUGUCCUUGGCCCGUGGCGACUUUGCUCCUUACGGCCUCAUCGCACCCCACACCCACCCACGAGCCUCAGAGAUGGUGUUUGUGCUCUAUGGAGAGAUAUAUGCCGGAUUCAUAACCACUGCUAACAUCCUCGUUGCUAAGACCAUCAAGGCGGGCGAGAUCUUUGUGUUCCCUAGAGGUUUAGUCCACUUCCAAAUGAACGUCAAAAACACCUCAGCGGCCGCCAUUGCGGUAUUCAACAGCCAAUUGGCGGGAGCCCCAAAUGUCGCUUUGCGCACUUUGUUCGCGGGCCGAGCCCACGGUGCCGAACGAUGUGUUGGCCAAGGCAUUCCAGAUUGAUGCUAAGGAGGUCGAGAUGAUCAAGGCUAGGCUUGCCCCCAAGAGCUAG
Molecule: RNA transcript, 668 nt
Organism: Eucalyptus grandis
Lineage: Eukaryota; Viridiplantae; Streptophyta; Magnoliopsida; Myrtales; Myrtaceae
Gene name: germin-like protein 5-1
Exons: 2
Source: RefSeq, a predicted model, not a curated record